RNAcentral lists this ribosomal RNA (239 nucleotides) under uncultured Actinomycetales bacterium. RNAcentral describes it as "partial 16S ribosomal RNA". It matches the Rfam family "Bacterial small subunit ribosomal RNA", at positions 101 to 333 of the family's 1533-position model. The record is from RNAcentral. Lineage: Bacteria; Bacillati; Actinomycetota; Actinomycetes; Actinomycetales.
ACUCGAGUGGCAACGGGUGAGUAACACGUGGGUGAUCUGCCCUGCACUUCGGGAUAAGCCUGGGAAACUGGGUCUAAUACCGGAUAGGAGCCAUUUUUAGUGUGAUGGUUGGAAAGUUUUUCGGUGUAGGAUGAGCUCGCGGCCUAUCAGCUUGUUGGUGGGGUAAUGGCCUACCAAGGCGGCGACGGGUAGCCGGCCUGAGAGGGUGGACGGCCACAUUGGGACUGAGAUACGGCCAG